CGCGGGGUAGAGCAGUUUGGUAGCUCGUCGGGCUCAUAACCCGGAGGUCGGAGGUUCAAAUCCUCCCCCCGCAACCA
This 77-nucleotide transfer RNA is filed under the name Flavonifractor plautii. Its description in RNAcentral is "tRNA-Met". It matches the Rfam family "tRNA". From Rfam's summary of the family: Transfer RNA (tRNA) molecules are approximately 80 nucleotides in length. Their secondary structure includes four short double-helical elements and three loops (D, anti-codon, and T loops). The record is from RNAcentral. Lineage: Bacteria; Bacillati; Bacillota; Clostridia; Eubacteriales; Oscillospiraceae. RNAcentral also lists the same sequence under 11 other names.